GUGAAGGUAGCUUAGUGGUAGAGUGCAUGCCUAGCAUGCAUGAAGCCCUGGGUUCGAUUCCUCAGCACCACA
This 72-nucleotide transfer RNA is filed under the name Dipodomys ordii (Ord's kangaroo rat). It matches the Rfam family "tRNA". Rfam says of the family: Transfer RNA (tRNA) molecules are approximately 80 nucleotides in length. Their secondary structure includes four short double-helical elements and three loops (D, anti-codon, and T loops). Further hydrogen bonds mediate the characteristic L-shaped molecular structure. tRNAs have two regions of fundamental functional importance: the anti-codon, which is responsible for specific mRNA codon recognition, and the 3' end, to which the tRNAs corresponding amino acid is attached (by aminoacyl-tRNA synthetases). tRNAs cope with the degeneracy of the genetic code in two manners: having more than one tRNA (with a specific anti-codon) for a particular amino acid; and 'wobble' base-pairing, i.e. permitting non-standard base-pairing at the 3rd anti-codon position. Lineage: Eukaryota; Metazoa; Chordata; Mammalia; Rodentia; Heteromyidae. The record is from Rfam by way of RNAcentral.